RNAcentral lists this ribosomal RNA (490 nucleotides) under uncultured bacterium. Its description in RNAcentral is "partial 16S ribosomal RNA". It matches the Rfam family "Bacterial small subunit ribosomal RNA", at positions 30 to 507 of the family's 1533-position model. The record is from RNAcentral.
AUUGAACGCUGGCGGCAGGCCUAACACAUGCAAGUCGAACGGUAACAGGAAACAGCUUGCUGUUUCGCUGACGAGUGGCGGACGGGUGAGUCAUGUCUGUGAAACUGCCUGAUGGCGGGGGAUAACUACUGGAAACGGUAGCUAAUACCGCAUAACGUCGCAAGCCCAAAGAGGGGGACCUUCGGGCCUCUUGCCAUCGGAUUUGCCCAGAUGGGAUUAGCUAGUAGGUGGGGUAACGGCUCACCUAGGCGACGAUCCCUAGCUGGUCUGAGAGGAUGACCAGCCACACUGGAACUGAGACACGGUCCAGACUCCUACGGGAGGCAGCAGUGGGGAAUAUUGCGCAAUGGGCGAAAGCCUGAUGCAGCCAUGCCGCGUGUAUGAAGAAGGCCUUCGGGUUGUAAAGUACUUUUAGCGGGGAGGAAGGGAGUAAAGUUAAUACCUUUACUCAUUGACGUUACCCGCAGAAGAAGCACCGGCUAACUCCGUG